This is a non-coding RNA of Rattus norvegicus (Norway rat), 1970 nucleotides long. NCBI's taxonomy places the organism in Eukaryota, Metazoa, Chordata, Mammalia, Rodentia, Muridae. The record is from RefSeq and is a predicted model, not a curated record.
GCUUUGCAAGAACUGGGGGUGGGGGCAGCAAAAUUGUGUUGGAAGUUUCCAGAAAUGGUGCUUCUGGCCUUUGGUCUUUGUGAGUGUUGGAGGGGACAGCAUCUGGCCACCCUCACACCCAGCCAGACUCUUGAGGCCCCUAGUGGAUUGUCGUUGGACUAGAAGCACUCCCCGACUCCAAUCACCUUCUACCCCAGAAAAGAUACCAAGUCCCGCCUCUCUUCUGUUUCUUAAGCUUUCUGUCUCGCACAACCUACCAAGGACUGGUGCUGGCAGGACCACAGGCUUCAUCUCCUAGGCCCAGGGGGUGAAGUGGCUUCCUCAGACACACAAGCACGAAUACCCUAGCUCAGAUUUGAGCUUGGGUUUGUGUUCCAAGGGGAGCCGGAGGAAGGGAGAUUGGAAAUUCAAAGGCCAGCCUGAGCUACAUACCAAGACCCUGUUUCAAACACCAGAAAAAUCUAACUGAGCCUCACAUUCGGGUCUGGUGUGGCUGGCUAUUUCACACAUGUUCUCUUGGUCCACUGCAAGCCUAGAACCAUAGGAUAGACAUAUCUUCUUAACACGGUAGGCCAUGAUAUAUGUACGGGCUGAUGAUGAAAGACCCUCAGAUUGAGGAGACUCUCACUCCAGUCCUGAGGACACCCACCACCCCACGAACACACGGGACUCACUCUUGAUGUAAAAACAAGAGGUUUACUUGGGAUACCAGUGCACUGGGGCUCGACACGGUCCUCACGCAGGAGGGAUGUGAAAAGCCCGGAACAGCAGGAACACACAGUCUGUAUAGUCCCCACAAGGUCACACAGCUUCAUUAGCUCAGCUAUUUCGGUGCCAAGGAUACCUGACCAGGCAGAUGUUUCUCGUCCUGGAGUUCCUGGGACAAAGCCGCAACCAUAUCAGCGCAGCUAUUCCAGUACCAAGGAUGUCUGACUUGACAAAUGUUUUCCCGUCCUGGGGUCCCCAGGACAAGGCCACAGCGAUAUCAUCUGUUCUUGUGCCUGGGUUGCUUCUUGGAGAGUGGAUCGGGGACUCACUUCGAUAAGCUCAUCUCACAAGUCUGCUCUUGCACGAGGGUGAAUGAAAUCAGUUGGCAUCCAGCUCACUUCUUCACGGCAAUAGACCGCCAUGUCCUUCUGCACCUUUCUGCAUCCGUAUCCUCCCUGAGGGCUUCCCCCGUGCAUUCUACAUUCUAUUCCAUCUCAGUAGCAAGGCCCCUGUGGUCCCAACUGAGGCCCCGCUAACUCGUCGGCUGCUGAAGCCUCUGCAGCCAUCCCCCCCGCUGCCCACAGACAUCCUGGGAAUGAGGCACAGUCGUUUCUCUGGACAGAUGUGGCAACUGAGGGUCAGGUCGUUGAAGUAAUUAAAGUCCCCCAGUGAGACAGAAGCGGCAUCAGGCCCUACCCCUGCCUAUCCGAUUCAGAAGUACACGUGGUGGGUCACUGUGUCAGCCCGCUUCUAAGAGCAAUUAUUAGUAAUCACGAGGAGCGGGCGAGACAUUGCACAGCUGAGUCAGCCAGCAGCCAGACCUACGCUUGUGAAUCGGUCACCUCUCCUGUUGUCUGACAUCCUCCCCUGGCAUCUGGGAAAGGGCUUUCUCUAGCCAGACUCCCCUGCCUCUGUGCCCUAGAGUCGGGCUGCCCUCCUGUGCCAAGAUUCACUUCCUCUCUUCUGACCUGUCUUCUUGCACCCUGGGCAAGGAGAGGCAGAAAGACUUGGUCCUGGCUGAGUCUGCUGCAGGGACUCUGGUCACUUUGUCAGCUGAUAGAGACAGCGAGUGGGUGGCUCAGAAAGCCCAUGGGACACAGCCCUUGUUAUGAAACCACCAUUGGUUCCAGAAGGGAAAAUUCCUUUACUGCCCACCUUGGGAGGGAUGGGCUGCCUGAGGGCUGUCCGCCUUCACAGGAAUGGAGAAGACCGGGGACAGGAAUCGGGUGUGGCAAGGGGCCAUAAAAUUUUCCAGUCUCUUC